AGGGACACACAUAGCUGAUUGCCAAUGCCUGGUCUCAUAAAUCUCAGAAGCUAAGCAAGCCUUGGCCUGGUUAGUACUUGGAUGGGAGACCACUGAGGUCAUUGUGUCCUUA
This 112-nucleotide ribosomal RNA is filed under the name Periophthalmus magnuspinnatus. The record is from RNAcentral. Lineage: Eukaryota; Metazoa; Chordata; Actinopteri; Gobiiformes; Gobiidae.